UACAGAGGUCUCAAGCGUUGUUCGGAUUCAUUGGGCGUAAAGGGUGUGUAGGUGGCGCCGUAAGUCGGGUGUGAAAUUUCGGAGCUUAACUCCGAAACUGCGUUCGAUACUGCCGUGCUUGAGGACUGGAGAGGAGACUGGAAUUUACGGUGUAGCGGUGAAAUGCGUAGAUAUCGUAAGGAAGACCAGUGGCGAAGGCGGGUCUCUGGACAGUUCCUGACGCUGAGGCACGAAGGUCAGGGGAGCAAACGGG
This 253-nucleotide ribosomal RNA is filed under the name uncultured bacterium. Its description in RNAcentral is "partial 16S ribosomal RNA". It matches the Rfam family "Bacterial small subunit ribosomal RNA", at positions 524 to 776 of the family's 1533-position model. The record is from RNAcentral.